UACGGAGGGUGCUAGCGUUGUUCGGAAUCACUGGGCGUAAAGGGCGUGUAGGCGGUCUGUUAAGUCUGGUGUGAAAUCCCCCCGCUCAACGGGGGAACGGCGCCGGAUACUGGCAGACUCGAGUACCGGAGAGGAAGGUGGAAUUCCCGGUGUAGCGGUGAAAUGCGUAGAUAUCAGGAGGAACACCUGUGGCGAAAGCGGCUCACUGGACCAUAACUGACGCUGAUGCACGAAAGCUAGGGGAGCAAACAGG
RNAcentral lists this ribosomal RNA (253 nucleotides) under uncultured bacterium. RNAcentral's name for it is "partial 16S ribosomal RNA". It matches the Rfam family "Bacterial small subunit ribosomal RNA", at positions 524 to 776 of the family's 1533-position model. The record is from RNAcentral.